AGCGAACGCUGGCGGCAGGCCUAACACAUGCAAGUCGAACGAACUCUUCGGAGUUAGUGGCGGACGGGUGAGUAACACGUGGGAACGUGCCUUUUGGUUCGGAAUAACUCAGGGAAACUUGUGCUAAUACCGAAUGUGCCCUUCGGGGGAAAGAUUUAUCACCAUUAGAGCGGCCCGCGUCUGAUUAGCUAGUUGGUGAGGUAACGGCUCACCAAGGCGACGAUCAGUAGCUGGUCUGAGAGGAUGACCAGCCACACUGGGACUGAGACACGGCCCAGACUCCUACGGGAGGCAGCAGUGGGGAAUCUUGCGCAAUGGGCGAAAGCCUGACGCAGCCAUGCCGCGUGAAUGAUGAAGGUCUUAGGAUUGUAAAAUUCUUUCACCGGGGACGAUAAUGACGGUACCCGGAGAAGAAGCCCCGGCUAACUUCG
Molecule: ribosomal RNA, 431 nt
Filed under: uncultured bacterium
Lineage: Bacteria
Description: partial 16S ribosomal RNA
Rfam family: Bacterial small subunit ribosomal RNA
Source: RNAcentral